This 371-nucleotide ribosomal RNA is filed under the name uncultured organism. RNAcentral describes it as "bacterial SSU rRNA". It matches the Rfam family "Bacterial small subunit ribosomal RNA", at positions 526 to 896 of the family's 1533-position model. The record is from RNAcentral.
CGUACCGUCCAAACGUUAUUCGGAAUUACUGGGCUUAAAGGGUAUGUAGGCGGCGCUGUUAGUCGGGUGUGAAAUCCCACGGCUCAACCGUGGAACUGCGCCCGAUACUGCAGUGCUUGAGGGAGACAGAGGUAAGCGGAACUGAUGGUGGAGCGGUGAAAUGCGUUGAUAUCAUCAGGAACACCGGUGGCGAAAGCGGCUUACUGGGUCUCUUCUGACGCUGAGAUACGAAAGCUAGGGUAGCGAAGGGGAUUAGAUACCCCCGUAGUCCUAGCCGUAAACGUUGAGCACUUGAUCGAGGGCCCCCCAUAGGCUCUCGGUCGUAGCGAAAGUGUUAAGUGCUCCGCCUGGGGAGUAUGGUCGCAAGGCUG